Molecule: long non-coding RNA, 297 nt
Filed under: Eucalyptus grandis
Lineage: Eukaryota; Viridiplantae; Streptophyta; Magnoliopsida; Myrtales; Myrtaceae
Description: long non-coding RNA (EGRA_LNC001908)
Source: RNAcentral
GUUCGCCCCUAAUUCGCAUGCUCUGUUUCUGCUGAAGGUAGGGACCGAGUGCUCGAUUACGCCUGCAUGAAAUCCGGUGGCGUUCGAGCCUCUAUGAUAAGUCUGGAAAUGACCUCUCUCUUAUUUCUGGAUCUAGAUCCUUUGGCUGAAAUGUCUACCACCUGUUGGAUAUAAUUCCUGAACUAGACCAAUGCGUGUUUCGAUUCAGAUUCUGACUUAGGGCUUUCCUUUGCUUAAUCGAUUCAUUAUUUUCGUCUUGUAAACUUUACUUUGUUUCGUUUCCUUUCAUUUCAGAAU